Molecule: long non-coding RNA, 739 nt
Organism: Aphis gossypii (cotton aphid)
Lineage: Eukaryota; Metazoa; Arthropoda; Insecta; Hemiptera; Aphididae
Exons: 3
Source: RefSeq, a predicted model, not a curated record
UACCUCUCUAUUAUACAAAAAAAGUUAUAUUAUAACUUUAAUUAAUAUAGCAACCAAUAUUAGAGUUAUUUUGUAAAUUUUAAGAUGGAUAGAAAGAGGCUUUUUUAGAUAUCAGAUGAAGAGCCUGCAUUGUGAAAAAAGUCAGAGAAAAGAAUAAACGAAAAUGCAAAGAGUAUCACGGCAAGAAAUCAAAGAACCAAGAAUUAGAGAUACAAUAAAUGGAAGAGCUUAAAUAUUUAAAAAGAUACGGUGAACAUUUUCAAUAUUGUAAUGCUUCGUCAGGUUUGACUUUAAAAAAUUAAAAGAUUAUCGAUCUACAUAUUAUAGCAAGCAGUACCUGUACGGUCAGUAUGCCUACAACAUCGAUAUCGAAAGUUUCAAAAUUUAAGAUUUAGUGUUGUAAUUUGAAUAAACCUCUUGAACGAAGUAUGCACCGAUCAAUUCAGUGGAUGUAGAGAGUAGUUUUUUGUACAAAAAAAUAUUCCAUCCGACAAUAUAGAGUCAAUUUCACUACAACAAAUCUAGAGAAAUACAAGCAAGCAGUACCUGUACGGUCAGUAUGCCUACAACAUCGAUAUCUAACGUUUCAAAUUUUAAGAUUUAGUGUUGUAAUUUGAAUAAACCUCUUGAAUGAAGUAUGCACCGAUCAAUUCAGUGGAUGUAAAGAGUCGUUUUCUGUGUAUAAAAAUAUUCCAUCCGACAAUAUAGAGUCAGUUUCACUACUGCAAAUCUACAGAAA